UCCCAAAAAUGACAACCAGAUUGCAGGGGAGCAGAGCAGAGAGUGAGUGAGAGAGACUGGGAGAAAGAAAGAACUCAACAACCCGUUCAGUUUUAGAGAGAGUACAGAGAAUAUCAGCCAGCGAAUGUUUUAUUUUACAGCUUCAUACUCGGCAUCUUGUGGAAAAUUCCGACUUUAGAAAUGUAGUUGGAUACAAAGAAAACCUGAUAAGAGUACACCAAUGUGUUUUUGAAAACAUAAGCGUUAGCAUAAACGUUUCCUGUUUCUUGACAUCGUAGUAGAACGGAGACCCCCUUGGUUUGAACUCUGCGCUCCUCUCCAGUUUUGUGAAGAUCACUGUCUGCUGCAGUCCAACCGUCAAGAUGUGUGACCUGAUGCCAGCUUCGCAACCUGCUGAAAAAAUCGGCAAAAUGAAAAAGUUGCGAAGAACUUUGUCAGAGAGCUUCAGUCGCAUAUCUUUCAAGAAAGAGGACAGUGGCUUUGAUGAGAUAUGUGUCACAAAGAUGUCCACACGCAGCGGCCAGGGAAAGGACUCGGUCAUCACGCCCCUGGACACCAUCCCUGAGGACAGGAAGGUAAGGGUUCAGCGGACACAGAGCGGUUUCGACGCUUUCGAGAAACCCGCCAGCCAGGUGAAGAGGGUGCACUCAGAGAACAAUGCCUGUAUCUCCUCCAAGGCCUCCUCUACUGGGAAAGAGUCUCCCAAACUGCGCCGACACUCCAGCCCCAGCUCUCCCACAAGCCCCAAGUUCGGGAAGGCUGAUUCCUAUGAGAAGCUUGAGAAGCUGGGAGAAGGCUCGUACGCCACAGUAUACAAAGGGAAAAGCAAGGUGAACGGCAAGCUGGUAGCCCUGAAAGUGAUUCGUCUGCAGGAGGAGGAGGGGACACCGUUCACCGCCAUCAGAGAAGCGUCUCUUCUGAAAGGUCUGAAGCACUGCAACAUCGUGCUGCUCCAUGACAUCAUCCACACCAAGGAGACCCUGACGCUGGUCUUUGAGUAUGUGCACACAGACCUGUGCCAGUACAUGGACAGGCACCCAGGAGGACUGCAUCCAGACAACGUGAAGUUGUUCCUGUACCAGUUGCUGAGAGGUCUGUCCUACAUCCACCAGAGGUAUAUCCUGCACCGCGACCUCAAGCCUCAGAACCUGCUCAUCUCUGACACUGGAGAACUCAAACUGGCCGACUUCGGUCUGGCACGGGCUAAGUCAGUCCCCAGCCACACCUACUCCAAUGAGGUGGUGACCCUGUGGUACCGCCCCCCUGAUGUCCUCCUGGGAUCCACAGACUACUCCACCUGCCUGGACAUGUGGGGUGUGGGCUGCAUCUUCAUCGAGAUGAUCCAAGGAGUGGCAGCUUUCCCUGGGAUGAAGGACAUCCAGGAUCAGCUGGAGAGGAUAUUCCUGGUCCUAGGCACCCCCUGUGAGGAUACCUGGCCAGGGGUCCACUCUCUGCCCCACUUCAAACCAGACAGCUUUACUGUCUACAGUUCCAAGAAGCUCAGACAAGCAUGGAAUAAGUUGGGCUAUGUGGACCAUGCUGAGGAGUUAGCCUCUAGGUUCCUCCAGUGCUUCCCAAAGAACCGUCUGUCUGCUCAGGCAGCUCUCCAGCAUGAGUACUUCAGCCACCUUCCUCCACGGCUCUGGGAGAUCUCAGACAUGGCUACUAUCUUCACGGUACCAAAUGUCAAGCUGCAGGUGGAGUCAGGUGACAGUAUACAGGUGUGUACCAGGACCAUCUCCAGCCAUGCUAAAGGACCGCCCAGCAGCAAACACUGACCGGGGCAGACUGCCCCACAGCUAGCCAGAUCCGAGCUCAGGUGUGAGCUCCAUGACAAGUGAAGAGAAGGGGCCGUGAUUUGGUUGCUGCUGUGGUCAGUCCAAGAGAGAAGGACAAAGACACUGAGAUGGAGGAACCACCGGGAUCACAUUCCCUCUUCUGUUUCUUUCACGUAUUACCUUUCCAAGUGUGUGUGUGUGUGUGUGUGUGUGUGUGUGUGUGUGUGUGUGUGUGUGUGUGUGUGUGUGUGACACCUCCAAUUUCAGUUUUAUAAUUUGCCAUUUUUGUUGACUUUUAUAAUGUUAUGAUACUCAUAAAUCGUUGACACAUUUACAAUACCCUUAAUCAUCAAGGGACUUUACAAUACUAUUGAUGCAUACUGUGGCUUGUGUUUCUAACUACCUAUGUGAGAAUGUAUAUUUGUAUGUACAGUAUACUCAUAUUUAGAAAAUAUAUCACGGACUCUAAGAAAGCUUAAAUUCUUUCACUAACAUGCUGCACUUGCAUGCAUUCACGCACGCAUGCACAAACUCACACGUACACACACACAGAUACACACCCACUGGACAGUUUCACUCACACUCACAAAACACACUUGAACUGAGAAUGACAAGCGGUGGUAAUGUUUCUCUUUAACUUUGAACUGUUCCUCCUCUGUAACUGUCAGUCCAGAGUCAAAUGGCAUCAACUCAAUAAUAAUCAUAAGAGCAAUGGUAGUAAUACUGUACUAAUACUGUAAUAGUGAUACUGGUGAUAAUAAUCCGUCAGUCUCUGCUGGAGAUGAUGCAUACACACAAAGCAAUGAGCGUCGAUGACAUCGUGAAGAGUCACAUUAUAUGGUUCAUUCGCUGUGGUUCGUCUCAGUGUAUGUGGGUGUGUUAUAUCUGUGUGGUUGCAUGUGCAUCAAACAUGGGCAAUAUGGGCUAUACCCUUCAUUGGUGCUUCCAUGUAGGCCACGAGGUACUGUUAUCUAUACCGCAUCCUGUUGUGCACUGUAUCUAGAUGGUAAAACACAAUGGCAAUAGGCUCAGUGGGAUUUUGAUCUCUUGGUUACUUCGACCCAUGACAAUCCUCUUCUCCUUCACAUCCUUUGAUAGCGUCACCAUCCAGUAAUGUACUGUAUUUCAGUCAUCACAAAUGUUAUUAGACGAUUGCGUCAUCAUCUGUUUGUCUCAGCUAUCACGUUAAUACAAAUAUUAGGAGCACUUUUUACGAUAUCGCAUGAUAUUGAUCUAACAAAUACUUUUGUUUCUUGGGUACUAUGUUACAUUGGCUGGUACAAAGAUGUCUUUGUGUUCGAUUUUCAGCUGGGUGUUGUUUUGUGUAAAAAUACCUGCUCAUAUUAGUCAUGUGUGAGCUAGGUAAUAUAGCAAUGACCAGUAACAUGGAGAAUAUGGGUUUCCGUUUUAUGGAUUGAUUUGAAAUUACCACUAAUCUGAAUGGUCUGUACUGUGCACAAGUAGAGGAGGGGGAGGAGAGUUAUGAGUGAGACAUCAUAGACACACACUAACUAUCAGGAGAGAUUAGUUUUCUUAAUCCACAUUGACACCCUUAGAAAGACAUGUGCACACACACACACACACACACACACACACACACACACACAUGAGAACACAUGAGAGACAGUCACAGGUACAUUUGGCCACACACAGUCCUUCUCCACCCCUGCCUCACCUGCUAGUCUAUCAUAGGGGUAGAAGGACGCGGAAGAGGAGGAGGAAACAUUAAAAAUAAAUGACUCUUGUAGAAGGCUUUGACAUGAUUCGGCAUAUGGCCAAGUCUGUGUAAUGGUACAGCUUUAAUAGUCCCACCAUCUCUAGUGGUGUUUGGUGUGUUAUAGAGCAGGUGAGGCAAAGACAGAGAAACACAGUGAUAGUGACGACUUGUGUCAUCAGCUUUUUGAGAAUGCACUUUUUGAAUCUACUUGCCCUACUGUACAUUUCAGCUUAUUAAACAUGUCACUUUUUACACCUGUGUUGUCCUUAAUCACAUGCCCUUGCCUGCACAGACUAGAAAUAUCAGUGCCCUCCCUUGGCAACCGUAAUAUAGGCCAACAGACCCCAGUUUCCAACCCCAGACACUACAGAUACUUAAAGGGAUUUCAUAGGACUUCAUUGUCAUUCCUGGUGUGACAAGUGAUUCUGUGUCAUGGUAGUGAGGAAGGGAGGAGAAUCUAGAGUGACGUCUUAAUGUGACUAAAGCAGCGUGACAGAGGAGGGUUAAUACCAGAGAGCUCUGCUGAGAUAGAUGGCCCAGCUCGCUCUGCUCGGCCUUGCAUGGCUUUAUGGGAUACAGGAGGUAUUAAGCAGCUGAAUCAUUUGUUUUGAUACGUUACUCUCCUGCUUUCUGUCUGUGUGGCAUUUCACUUUUCUUUUUCCCCCUUUUUAUUUUGUGCCUUUGUGUCCCAGAAGUUUCUUCCUUUGCCGCCUGCCUGCGACAUCACAUAAACAUGAAAAUACUGUAUAUGUUUUGCCUGCCUGCCUGCCUGCCUGCCUGCCUGCCUGCCUGCCUGCCUGCCUGCCUGCCUGCCUGCCUGCGUGGAGUUCCUGAAAGCUCCUUUUUUCUCCUUUGGGAAUUAAAAGCAUUUCUCUAUGAAGGAAAAUCUUGGGAAAGAAGUAGUGAAAUUGCACAUUGAGCACUGUGACGGUCCAAAUGAUUAACAAUUGAAUGGGGCCCACUAUCAUUUGAAUGUUACCAUUGGUUCUUGCUUGCUAAGGUCAACUUCCAAAUGUUUAAAAAAAUGCAUUUGCAAAUACACCAUUCAAAUCUGAAUUGGGGAAUGGCUUAAGAUUGAUCUGCUUGCUAUAUUUGUCAUGUUACGGAAUGUGUACAUUUCGAGUCAUAUUUUGAGUUACAUGUCAAUAUUUAAUCAUUUUGUAUCCUUUGUUAUAAACUGUCUUACUAGGCUGUAUAUAAAAGGGGAGGUGAAACGCCUUGUGUAAAAUGUAAUAGUGACUAUGUUUGCGUACAUACAGGGUCACGCGUGUCUCCUUUGCGCCAUAAAAGAGAGGAUUCGUAUUAAAUAUAUAUGGAUAUAUACACAUACAGUAUUUUUUUGGCAUUGUCAGUUUCUUAACUGCGUAGACGUACAGUAUAUGUUGGGAAAGGCGUUUUGGAACCAGACAUGCAACCCCCGCUGUACUCAACACUGAAUCUGUGUUUUACAGUACAAAAAAAACUUCACUUGCGUAUCUAUUUUGUCUUUUUUUGUAUGAUGCUCUGAAAAUACAUCAUUUUCCACAAGUGGUUUCGGACAUAGAAGAAGUGUUACCGGUCACUUUAUAAACUGAAACUUAGGAUAUAAUAGUAGAAUAGCUGUUUCAUUACCUAUUUGUUACGACCUGUAUGUAAUGUUAUUAUGGAAGAUGUAAUGUCCUUCUGUAAAUGUUGUUUAUUGUUGGUUUACCUGAAAUAAAUAAAGUUUAUUAAUGCUUCAAA
Oncorhynchus masou masou (cherry salmon) is the source of this 5217-nucleotide RNA transcript. It is a transcript of the gene named cyclin-dependent kinase 14, with no coding region annotated. The record is from RefSeq and is a predicted model, not a curated record. NCBI's taxonomy places the organism in Eukaryota, Metazoa, Chordata, Actinopteri, Salmoniformes, Salmonidae. The transcript has 16 exons.